RNAcentral lists this long non-coding RNA (465 nucleotides) under Hordeum vulgare. RNAcentral's name for it is "long non-coding RNA (HVUL_LNC003158)". The record is from RNAcentral. Lineage: Eukaryota; Viridiplantae; Streptophyta; Magnoliopsida; Poales; Poaceae.
GAAGAAGUGCUGGCCGGAGUCCUGCAACAGCGAGCGCCUCAAGCUCUGGGAAAUCAGGGACCUGGUGACGGAGCUGGACGCCAACUGGCCGACGCUGGCGUGCAAGGGCGGGAAGAGCUUCGAGUUCUGGACCCACGAGUGGGAGAAGCACGGCACCUGCUCCAACCUGGACCAGCACGGCUACUUCGCGACGGCGCUCGGCUUCAAGGCCCGCCACAACCUCACCAGCAUCCUCGCCGACGCCGGGAUCGUGCCGUCCGACACCGAGACCUACUUCCUCAGCAGCAUCAGGGACGCCAUCAGGGAGGGGACCGGGUUCACGGCGAACCUGGAGUGCAACCGUGGCGUCGACGGCGAGACGCAGCUGUUCCAGGUGUACCAGUGCAUCGACCGCGACGGGGAGAACCUCAUCGACUGCCCGCUGCCGAUGCAGGGCAACUGCAAAGACAGGGUCCAGCUGCCGGC